Molecule: long non-coding RNA, 3058 nt
Organism: Canis lupus familiaris (dog)
Lineage: Eukaryota; Metazoa; Chordata; Mammalia; Carnivora; Canidae
Exons: 4
Source: RefSeq, a predicted model, not a curated record
CUUCAAAGGUGAACUGUCAGAGGAAUCAAUGAAGAUUCCAUAGAACUUGAUUACCAAGGGGAAAAUGGAUGGACCAAGCCUCCCCACCCACAUCUAACCUUGCCCUAAACCCUCAGAAGUCUGGCUCCUGGGAAGCUGGUGAACCCAUAGGUCUGUCCUCAUGCAAAGCAGCGGCGUCCUUCUCACUGAAUGAAAUGACUUUUUUCCACGAGUUAGCAUGGAAUGUAGCAGCAGGCUGCGCCAUGGCCCCUUUUUAUUCAGUAAACAUUGUCUGCACAUCCACCCAUGGCCAGACUCCACACUAGAUGCAGACCAGGUGAAGGAGAGCUCUCUGUCCCACAGAACUUCUAUGGCCAUCUUAACUCCCACAACCAAAGACACCGUGAGACACAGUUCUUGCUUCUACAUUGUUUGCAAGACUGCCUGACUUCUGUUCAUGCUCAGAGCAUCAAGGCUUGAAUGGCUGAAGCAUUUUGCAAAGGACGUGGUAAAUACCAAAUCUUACAAUGCUGAUUGGCUUGUGAUUGCUUGUGAGGGAUUUCCUGCACAAAUGGCCAAAGCUUCAAUGUAGUUAUAAAAAUGAACUUCUAGAAGCUGAUAAUUCACAUCAGAGAAAUGGGGACUAAGGACCAGUCCUGCGAAAGAUGUAUCCUCAUCACUGCCAUCCUGGGGGUCUGCUAAGCCCCAAGCCCUAGAAUACAGAGCGCUUCUGAAAAGAUGUUAUAAUUUUAAUAGAAAAGCAAUUUAGAAGAAAAUCGUAGGAUCCUAUGGUUUCCAAGAGAGAAGAGAGGAGAGAGAAGAGAGGCUCUGGUAUAGACAGAACCAGAAUUAGGAUCCCAUUGUGACUCACCACUUCCUGCCGGUGGGGUCUUCAGGGAUCUACAUGACCUCUCCAAACCCUGGUGUUCUCAUUUAUGCAUCAUAGAUAAUAAACCUACUUCAUUAAGGUGUUCUAAGGAUUAGUUCAGGCUUGUUACUGUAAGCCCCUAACACAUGUGGUACACUGUAAAUGCCCGUUGUUUUUCUCACAUAUGCACCACCACUAAGGAGAGAAAAAACAUGUCGGAGUCUGGGUUCUGAGUUGAAAGCCCCCAGGGCAAUUGAACGGUGAGAAGCAUUUUCCAAAGAGUGCUAGGGUGAAGAAGCCAGAAUCAUCACAAGGCUGAGGAAGGCACUCAAGCCCCAAGAGUGAGAGGAAGGGUAUAGAAGAAUGAGUAACUGGGAGACUCAGAAAGGAAUGGAGUAAGAGGAAGGGCUGAGGGCAAAAAUUCAGAGACCAUGGAUUUAGGGUUCCUGCUUCCUGUAUAGGAGUCCACUGGGGAUGGGCAGAGCAUCUGAAGGCCCUUAUAGGGCCAACUACCCACCAAGUCCUGUCUGUCCUCAAAUGAAGCAGCUAAGAGGGAUGGCAGGAUAUAAAUCUCAGUUCUGGGAAACUCAUGAUUCAAUAGAAUGACCAUGCAAAGUCAACCUACCCAAGGUGCUGGGUCAAAUGGUUUGCACUGAAGGUGUCCAGCACUGCUGCUUAUUAUCCAUGACACAUGUGUAUUAGUGUCUGCUGUGGAUUAUCCUAUUAAUAAUUCAGCAGACAUAAGCUCAAGGGAUGCUCUCACCACUUACUGCUCAUGUGAUUUAAAUCCUCUGAGACUCAUUUUGUCUAUAAAGUGAGGCCACCAUUACCUUCUUUGUAGAGUUGUUGCAAGAAAUAAAAGAAACAAUGUAUGAAAGAUGCAGAUACAGUGCCUGGACUAAAGAAAGGAUUCAAUAGUUGAUAGGCAUGAAGAUGAAGAUGAAGAUGUUGAUUCCAUCUCUUGUAGCUCUAAGACCCUCCAAUUUUGUUCAGACUUCUCACUAGUAUUAUUUCAGAACCUGCUGUGGAUAGCUCACAUAAGAAGAACCCCCUCUGUAUUAAGCACCCCAAGAUAGACAGAUGGGUUUCAAAAAAAUAUCUAGGUGGAAAUAAAGAAAGCCAGCUAAGGUGGGAUCAGGUGGGAUAGAAAAUGAAUGAAUGAAUGAAUGAAUGAAUGAAUGAAUGAAGAUAUACUGAAUAAAUGCCAAGAUGGUAUGGUAGUUUUCCAGCAGGAAUGAAUAUGGUGCUAUUGGGUAGGUGAAGUUAGAGAGAGAGCCUCGCAGAGAAGCACAUUUUGGAAAAGGGGGGGAUGGGGAGGUUAAGAAGCUAAACACAUUCCAGGUGAAAUGAGUAAAUAAAUCCCAAGGAAAGGAUGAAAAUGAGAAUUAAUCAGGAGUGUGCUGAGCCGUGGCACUGCCAGCCACAAUCAGAGGGCUUCUUAAUUGCUUGUCAAAGACCAAUGCAUCCUGGCAAAAUGAUGCUCAAGUAAUGCUGGGACUUCUUUUUCCUAACCUGGCUUCAUUUAUCAUGAUUAGAAAACAAGUCAAAAUUGAUUUCUGUUUAUUUUAUAAAGCAAAUCCUCAGGGAACCCUUCUUCCCAGUAGGUUUGAUAAUUUUUAACUGAGAAGGGGAAUACCCUCAGAACAUAAAGAGCCGCGUUACUUUGGUUUAGGAGAGCAGGGCGUGUGGAUGUGUAAAGUUUAUGGGUGUUAUGAAAAAUGGCAGUCUCUUAAACUUUUACAAAUCACCUCAAGUCCAUCAACAUGAGCCUUUUAGUGCUUUCCUACUUUAAAAUGGGAAGAUUAGAGGCAGUUUAAUAAAACAUUUGUGUUUGAAUUCUUAGCUCUGCCAUCUAAUAGCUGUGUGACCUUGGGCAAGUCACCAGAGGAAAUCUUGAGAUCUAGCUCAAAUCUCUGAGAUUUGAGAAUGAGGUUGCUAACGCCUCUCAGAUUUCCCAGGAGGACUGGGGGUCGUGUACAGGAAAGGUAUCAAUACAGAAGAUCUGCACAGAUAGAAGUGAUAGAAGUGAUGUCAUACAGGUGCAGGGAAACCCAUUGGAUUCUUUAUCCCAUGAGGGCAGGGCCUGUGUGUGUCUGUUUUACUUUGAGUUCUAUCUUGGUUAUUGGCACAUGGCUUGGCACAUAGUUGAUGUCCACUUUAUCUGUUUGACACUCACAUUGCACCUAAUCUAUGCAAAAUUCUGUACUGUUU